UAACGCGUGAGGAACCUGCCUCAAAGAGGGGGACAACAGUUGGAAACGACUGCUAAUACCGCAUAAGCCCACAGCUCGGCAUCGAGCAGAGGGAAAAGGAGCAAUCCGCUUUGAGAUGGCCUCGCGUCCGAUUAGCUAGUUGGUGAGGUAACGGCCCACCAAGGCAACGAUCGGUAGCCGGACUGAGAGGUUGAACGGCCACAUUGGGACUGAGACACGGCCCAGACUCCUACGGGAGGCAGCAGUGGGGAAUAUUGCACAAUGGGGGAAACCCUGAUGCAGCGACGCCGCGUGGAGGAAGAAGGUCUUCGGAUUGUAAACUCCUGUUGUUGAGGAAGAUAAUGACGGUACUCAACAAGGAAGUGACGGCUAACUACGUGCCAGCAGCCGCGGUAAAACGUAGGUCACAAGCGUUGUCCGGAAUUACUGGGUGUAAAGGGAGCGCAGGCGGGAAGACAAGUUGGAAGUGAAAUCUACGGGCUCAACCCAUAAACUGCUUUCAAAACUGUUUUUCUUGAGUAGUGCAGAGGUAGGCGGAAUUCCCGGUGUAGCGGUGGAAUGCGUGGAUAUCGGGAGGAACGCCAGUGGCGAAGGCGGCCUACUGGGCACCAACUGACGCUGAGGCUCGAAAGUGUGGGUAGCAAACAGGAUUAGAUACCCUGGUAGUCCACACCGUAAACGAUGAUUACUAGGUGU
RNAcentral lists this ribosomal RNA (696 nucleotides) under uncultured bacterium. RNAcentral's name for it is "bacterial SSU rRNA". It matches the Rfam family "Bacterial small subunit ribosomal RNA", at positions 111 to 823 of the family's 1533-position model. The record is from RNAcentral.